GACGGGGGAUGCAAGCGUUAUCCGGAAUGAUUGGGCGUAAAGCGUCUGUAGGUGGUUUAUUAAGUCUAGUGUUAAAGAUCAGGGCUUAACCCUGAGUCGGCAGUAGAAACUGAUGAGCUUGAGUACGGUAGGGGCAGAGGGAAUUCCCGGUGUAGCGGUGAAAUGCGUAGAGAUCGGGAAGAACACCAAUGGCGAAAGCACUCUGCUGGGCCGAAACUGACACUCAGAGACGAAAGCUAGGGGAGCGAAUGGG
This 253-nucleotide ribosomal RNA is filed under the name uncultured bacterium. RNAcentral describes it as "partial 16S ribosomal RNA". It matches the Rfam family "Bacterial small subunit ribosomal RNA", at positions 524 to 776 of the family's 1533-position model. The record is from RNAcentral.